AGAGUUUGAUCCUGGCUCAGAUUGAACGCUGGCGGCAUGCCUUACACAUGCAAGUCGAACGGCAGCACGAGAGCUUGCUCUUGGUGGCGAGUGGCGAACGGGUGAGUAAUAUAUCGGAACGUACCCUAGAGUGGGGGAUAACGUAGCGAAAGUUACGCUAAUACCGCAUACGAUCUACGGAUGAAAGUGGGGGAUCGCAAGACCUCAUGCUCAUGGAGCGGCCGAUAUCUGAUUAGCUAGUUGGUGGGGUAAAAGCUCACCAAGGCGACGAUCAGUAGCUGGUCUGAGAGGACGACCAGCCACACUGGAACUGAGACACGGUCCAGACUCCUACGGGAGGCAGCAGUGGGGAAUUUUGGACAAUGGGCGCAAGCCUGAUCCAGCAAUGCCGCGUGAGUGAAGAAGGCCUUCGGGUUGUAAAGCUCUUUUGUCAGGGAAGAAACGGUGGACUCUAAUACAGAUCACUAAUGACGGUACCUGAGGAAUAAGCACCGGCUAACUACGUGCCAGCAGCCGCGGUAAUACGUAGGGUGCAAGCGUUAAUCGGAAUUACUGGGCGUAAAGCGUGCGCAGGCGGUUGUGCAAGACAGAUGUGAAAUCCCCGGGCUCAACCUGGGAAUUGCAUUUGUGACUGCACGGCUAGAGUGUGUCAGAGGGGGGUAGAAUUCCACGUGUAGCAGUGAAAUGCGUAGAGAUGUGGAGGAAUACCGAUGGCGAAGGCAGCCCCCUGGGAUAACACUGACGCUCAUGCACGAAAGCGUGGGGAGCAAACAGGAUUAGAUACCCUGGUAGUCCACGCCCUAAACGAUGUCUACUAGUUGUCGGGUCUUAAUUGACUUGGUAACGCAGCUAACGCGUGAAGUAGACCGCCUGGGGAGUACGGUCGCAAGAUUAAAACUCAAAGGAAUUGACGGGGACCCGCACAAGCGGUGGAUGAUGUGGAUUAAUUCGAUGCAACGCGAAAAACCUUACCUACCCUUGACAUGUCUGGAAUCCUUGAGAGAUCAGGGAGUGCUCGAAAGAGAAUCAGAACACAGGUGCUGCAUGGCUGUCGUCAGCUCGUGUCGUGAGAUGUUGGGUUAAGUCCCGCAACGAGCGCAACCCUUGUCAUUAGUUGCUACGAAAGGGCACUCUAAUGAGACUGCCGGUGACAAACCGGAGGAAGGUGGGGAUGACGUCAAGUCCUCAUGGCCCUUAUGGGUAGGGCUUCACACGUCAUACAAUGGUACAUACAGAGGGCCGCCAACCCGCGAGGGGGAGCUAAUCCCAGAAAGUGUAUCGUAGUCCGGAUUGUAGUCUGCAACUCGACUACAUGAAGUUGGAAUCGCUAGUAAUCGCGGAUCAGCAUGUCGCGGUGAAUACGUUCCCGGGUCUUGUACACGCCGCCCGUCACACCAUGGGAGCGGGUUUCACCAGAAGUGGGUAGCCUAACCGCAAGGAGGGCGCUCACCACGGUGGGAUUCGUGACUGGGGUGAAGUCGUAACAAGGUA
This 1491-nucleotide ribosomal RNA is filed under the name metagenome. Its description in RNAcentral is "bacterial SSU rRNA". It matches the Rfam family "Bacterial small subunit ribosomal RNA". The record is from RNAcentral.